This 497-nucleotide ribosomal RNA is filed under the name uncultured bacterium. RNAcentral's name for it is "partial 16S ribosomal RNA". It matches the Rfam family "Bacterial small subunit ribosomal RNA", at positions 28 to 507 of the family's 1533-position model. The record is from RNAcentral.
GAUGAACGCUGGCGGCGUGCCUAAUACAUGCAAGUCGAGCGAACAGACGAGGAGCUUGCUCCUCUGACGUUAGCGGCGGACGAGUGAGUAACACGUGGAUAACCUACCUAUAAGACUGGGAUAACUUCGGGAAACCGGAGCUAAUACCGGAUAAUAUAUUGAACCGCAUGGUCCAAUAGUGAAAGACGGUUUUGCUGUCACUUAUAGAUGGAUCCGCGCCGCAUUAGCUAGUUGGUAAGGUAACGGCUUACCAAGGCAACGAUGCGUAGCCGACCUGAGAGGGUGAUCGGCCACACUGGAACUGAGACACGGUCCAGACUCCUACGGGAGGCAGCAGUAGGGAAUCUUCCGCAAUGGGCGAAAGCCUGACGGAGCAACGCCGCGUGAGUGAUGAAGGUCUUCGGAUCGUAAAACUCUGUUAUUAGGGAAGAACAAAUGUGUAAGUAACUAUGCACGUCUUGACGGUACCUAAUCAGAAAGCCACGGCUAACUACGUG